Molecule: ribosomal RNA, 284 nt
Filed under: uncultured bacterium
Lineage: Bacteria
Description: partial 16S ribosomal RNA
Rfam family: Bacterial small subunit ribosomal RNA
Source: RNAcentral
GUGGAUUAGAUACCCUGGUAGUCCACGCAGUAAACGAUGAAUACUAACUGUUUGCGAUACACAGUAAGCGGUACAGCGAAAGCGUUAAGUAUUCCACCUGGGGAGUACGCCGGCAACGGUGAAACUCAAAGGAAUUGACGGGGGCCCGCACAAGCGGAGGAACAUGUGGUUUAAUUCGAUGAUACGCGAGGAACCUUACCCGGGCUCAAACGUUGGGGGAAUAAUUUGGAAACAGAUUAGCUAGCAAUAGCCGCCAACGAGGUGCUGCACGGCUGUCGUCAGCU